GGGGAAGCGGCCUUGUUGGGUUGGCCCCACCCUCCCUGUUCAGGAGUCUGGGAAGGGGACCUGGGAACUUCAAGAGAAACAAGCCUGGGAGACAAGGGGUGUCCCUGAGCAGGACUGAGGCCCCAGAGGCCCCAUUGGCAGCUCUGGGUUUGUGCCAGGCUUGGGGAACAAGGUCCAGGUCUCCUCUUUCUGCCCCAGUGAGACAGGCCCUCUCUGACAGCUGUCGCCAACCCAAACUCUGUCUCAGAACAUCAGCUAUGGACAAAACACCAGGCCCAUUCAGGGCUGCAGCAGGCAGUGAGCUGUGGCCUAGGUAUCUGCGACAACCCUUGGUCAGAACCCAGGAUUGAAGGGGUUAAGCUUGCAGGGGACAUCCGGAGGAGAGGUUCCAGACUACGGUGAGUCCACACCCGGGACUGCAUGAUGAUACCCAUCAUUGACUGCUGUCCACAAGAUAUCUGUGAAACAAGAACCCUCAGAAGAGACCACAGUUGUGCCAAGUUUGCUUUGCUACAUCACCACCCAUUUUUUAAAUGUGUCCUGAUUGGCUUGUCUCAGGGGACUAGAGACAGCUGCCCUCCCCUGCUGAGUCCCCAUUAUACUGCAAUGUGUUCUCAAGUGGCCAGGAGUGAGAUCCUUCAUAAAGCAGCCACGCUUAGUGAGUU
Molecule: long non-coding RNA, 665 nt
Organism: Alexandromys fortis (reed vole)
Lineage: Eukaryota; Metazoa; Chordata; Mammalia; Rodentia; Cricetidae
Exons: 2
Source: RefSeq, a predicted model, not a curated record